GACGAACGCUGGCGGCGUGCCUAAUACAUGCAAGUAGAACGCUGAAGAGAGGAGCUUGCUCUUCUUGGAUGAGUUGCGAACGGGUGAGUAACGCGUAGGUAACCUGCCUGGUAGCGGGGGAUAACUAUUGGAAACGAUAGCUAAUACCGCAUAAAAUUGAUUAUUGCAUGAUAAUUAAUUGAAAGAUGCAAUUGCAUCACUACCAGAUGGACCUGCGUUGUAUUAGCUAGUUGGUGAGGUAACGGCUCACCAAGGCGACGAUACAUAGCCGACCUGAGAGGGUGAUCGGCCACACUGGGACUGAGACACGGCCCAGACUCCUACGGGAGGCAGCAGUAGGGAAUCUUCGGCAAUGGGGGGAACCCUGACCGAGCAACGCCGCGUGAGUGAAGAAGGUUUUCGGAUCGUAAAGCUCUGUUGUAAGAGAAGAACGGGUGUGAGAGUGGAAAGUUCACAAUGUGACGUAUCUACCAGAAAGGACGCA
RNAcentral lists this ribosomal RNA (484 nucleotides) under Streptococcus sanguinis. RNAcentral describes it as "bacterial SSU rRNA". It matches the Rfam family "Bacterial small subunit ribosomal RNA", at positions 28 to 496 of the family's 1533-position model. Lineage: Bacteria; Bacillati; Bacillota; Bacilli; Lactobacillales; Streptococcaceae. The record is from RNAcentral.